AAAAAGUUAGUUAAAAUAUAACAUUAAUAUGUCAUAUUAAAAUUAUUAGGAAACUAGUACUUUUUG
This 66-nucleotide transfer RNA is filed under the name Chasmoptera huttii. RNAcentral's name for it is "tRNA-Asp". The record is from RNAcentral. Lineage: Eukaryota; Metazoa; Arthropoda; Insecta; Neuroptera; Nemopteridae.